Molecule: long non-coding RNA, 151 nt
Organism: Solanum tuberosum (potato)
Lineage: Eukaryota; Viridiplantae; Streptophyta; Magnoliopsida; Solanales; Solanaceae
Exons: 3
Source: RefSeq, a predicted model, not a curated record
CAGAUGUAUUGCUUCAAGCAGUGAAUUAUCAUAUGCAUUAAUUUAAAAUCAGAUUUGAGUUGAUGUGAUCCCCGCAACAUGAAAAUGUCAAGUUGAAAGUGGUGAUUGAAGGAUUGCAUAGCAUGUUGAGGAUUGAAGGGUUGCAUAGCCU